UACAGGGGUCUCAAGCGUUGUUCGGAUUCAUUGGGCGUAAAGGGUGUGUAGGUGGCGCGCUAAGUCGGGUGUGAAAUUUCGGAGCUUAACUCCGAAACUGCAUUCGAUACUGGCGUGCUUGAGGACUGGAGAGGAGACUGGAAUUCAUGGUGUAGCAGUGAAAUGCGUAGAGAUCAUGAGGAAGACCAGUGGCGAAGGCGGGUCUCUGGACAGUUCCUGACACUGAGACACGAAGGCCAGGGGAGCAAACGGG
Molecule: ribosomal RNA, 253 nt
Filed under: uncultured bacterium
Lineage: Bacteria
Description: partial 16S ribosomal RNA
Rfam family: Bacterial small subunit ribosomal RNA
Source: RNAcentral